This 254-nucleotide ribosomal RNA is filed under the name uncultured bacterium. RNAcentral describes it as "partial 16S ribosomal RNA". It matches the Rfam family "Bacterial small subunit ribosomal RNA", at positions 524 to 777 of the family's 1533-position model. The record is from RNAcentral.
UACGGAGGGUGCAAGCGUUAUCCGGAUUCACUGGGUUUAAAGGGUGUGUAGGCGGGUCUGUAAGUCAGUGGUGAAAUCUCCGAGCUCAACUUGGAAACUGCCAUUGAUACUAUAGAUCUUGAAUUUUGUUGAGGUAGGCGGAAUAUGUCAUGUAGCGGUGAAAUGCAUAGAUAUGACAUAGAACACCGAUUGCGAAGGCAGCUUACUAAGCAAAUAUUGACGCUGAGGCACGAAAGCGUGGGGAUCAAACAGGA